Molecule: ribosomal RNA, 493 nt
Filed under: uncultured bacterium
Lineage: Bacteria
Description: bacterial SSU rRNA
Rfam family: Bacterial small subunit ribosomal RNA
Source: RNAcentral
AAUGAACGCUGGCGGCGUGCCUAACACAUGCAAGUCGAGCGAGAAAGUUCCUUCGGGAAUGAGUAAAGCGGCGGACGGUUGAGUAUCACGUGAGAAUCUACCCUUUAGUGAAGAAUACCUUCGAGAAAUCGAAAUUAAUACUGCAUAAGUCCCUUCGGGGAGAAAAGUGGCCUCUUUGCUACUGCUAAAGGAUGAGCUUGCGGACUAUCAGCUAGUUGGUGAGGUAAAGGCUCACCAAGGCUAUGACGGUUAGCCGGCCUGAGAGGGUGAACGGCCAGACUGGAACUUAGACACGGUCCAGACUCCUACGGGAGGCAGCAGUGAGGAAUAUUGCGCAAUGGGCGAAAGCCUGACGCAGCGACGCCGCGUGGAGGAUGAAGGUUUUCGGAUCGUAAACUCCUGUUAAGUGGAAGAAAGUCUGUGUUAAUACCGCAGAAAUGACGGUACCAUUAUAGAAAGCACCGGCUAACUACGUGCCAGCAGCCGCGGUAAU